UAAAUAAAUACUUGAAUUAUGUCAAGCUGUAUAUAUGUCAUACAUUCAAAACUGAAUAAAUGUAUCCACACUAUCUAGAUGUCAAAUCAUCAAAUUUCCGCCCCCCCCGAAACAGAAAACACCUUGAAUAUAUGUCAAAAGAUCACCAGCCUUGGCAAAUUAGUGUGCCCGUGAAAACGUAAUCUUCCAUCCCUUUCCACCCCCUCCCACCGUAGAACUACGUUAUCGAGCCAGUUGCAACCCCGACUCGGACCGGGUAACGCGCGCUCGCGGCACACUCAAAUAUAAAUAUCAUUGAAUUUUAAUUAAAAAACUAUACAUAUACAAUCUUGAUUAAUAAACAGUUAUUUUUGUCGUAUUUUAAACAAUUUUUUACAAGUUUUUUCAUUUAGUUUUACGUGAUUUCUUUAAGAGUGGAAAUUAAAGAUGGCGUAACGCGAUUUUUGGGAUUUUUUGUUGUUUUUUCGUCUUCGUCAGCUGGUUUGAGGUAUAGGCGAGCAAAUUAAGCUACAUAUCUCAUCAAAUAAAG
Long non-coding RNA from Cydia pomonella (codling moth), 529 nucleotides. RefSeq lists it as uncharacterized. Lineage: Eukaryota; Metazoa; Arthropoda; Insecta; Lepidoptera; Tortricidae. The transcript is spliced from 2 exons. The record is from RefSeq and is a predicted model, not a curated record.